AAGAAGUUAGUUAAUUAUUUAUAACUUAUGUAUGUCAUACUUAAAUUGUCUUAUAGACACUUCUUU
This 66-nucleotide transfer RNA is filed under the name Potamon fluviatile. RNAcentral's name for it is "tRNA-Asp". Lineage: Eukaryota; Metazoa; Arthropoda; Malacostraca; Decapoda; Potamidae. The record is from RNAcentral.